AACGUAGGAGCCAAGCGUUAUCCGAAUUCACUGGGCGUAAAGCGCAUGCAGGCGGUCCGGUAAGUUGGAUGUGAAAUCUCCCGGCUCAACUGGGAGAGGCCGUUCAAUACUGUUGGACUAGAGGGCGACAGAGGGAGGUGGAAUUCCGGGUGUAGUGGUGAAAUGCGUAGAUAUCCGGAGGAACACCAGAGGCGAAGGCGACCUCCUGGGUCGUACCUGACGCUCAGAUGCGAAAGCUAGGGGAGCGAACGGG
RNAcentral lists this ribosomal RNA (253 nucleotides) under uncultured bacterium. RNAcentral's name for it is "partial 16S ribosomal RNA". It matches the Rfam family "Bacterial small subunit ribosomal RNA", at positions 524 to 776 of the family's 1533-position model. RNAcentral also lists the same sequence under 1 other name. The record is from RNAcentral.